This 168-nucleotide microRNA precursor is filed under the name Triticum aestivum (bread wheat). RNAcentral describes it as "MIR2118 microRNA precursor family". It matches the Rfam family "MIR2118 microRNA precursor family". Lineage: Eukaryota; Viridiplantae; Streptophyta; Magnoliopsida; Poales; Poaceae. The record is from Rfam by way of RNAcentral. RNAcentral also lists the same sequence under 1 other name.
GUCGGGAAGAGGAAGAAAUGAGCAUAUAAGAUGAUUAGGCAUUGGAACAUGGAGGAGGGCAUAGACUAGUGUUUCCCUCUGCAACUAGGGUCCAAUAUUUGUUCCAAAAUUUUACCGAUGCCUCCCAUGCCUAUUGUUCUUAAGUGCACCUUCCUCUUCCUUUCAAUC